This 1855-nucleotide long non-coding RNA is filed under the name Salvia miltiorrhiza (redroot sage). RNAcentral's name for it is "long non-coding RNA (SMIL_LNC007405)". The record is from RNAcentral. Lineage: Eukaryota; Viridiplantae; Streptophyta; Magnoliopsida; Lamiales; Lamiaceae.
CGAGGCCCUCAAGAGAAAAAUAUCUCUGCCCUACAGCUAUUGCUGUCCCUAAACAAUGAUCCCAAGAUAAUUAACCCUAAAUCGUAAAGAACUAUAUAUAGACCUAAUGACUUGAGGCCCAAUUAAUUAACUUGGAGCCCAUGAGUCUUGACCUAAAAACUUAACCCUAAAUAAUUGAACUACUGCGAAAAAAUAAAAGAUAACUAUGAACUAACAAAAACUAAUAUAAUAAAGAUAAUCCUAAAUCUGCAGACUGCAGCUGAUCUAACGCUAUCAAUUGCCCGCCUGUCGAAACAGCCUUGUCCUCAAGGCGGUUGCUGAUUCAUAUGGUCCCAUGGGACUUCCUCCUUCAGCCCGGUAUCCUCAUAAUUCUCUAGGUCCCUGCCCGGGUCAUCUUCCAUGUCACCGAUUAAAACCUGUAGUGUUUUAGGUGGGCAGCGAUGCAAUGGCCCAUAUUUCAGGCCGCAGCGAAAACAAGUGCCAGCUGCACGGUGUUUCAUGUACUCCUCAUUGGAGAUGUUGCGAAAAUUGCGGGGAGGGGCAGAUGAAGUGAGGGAGGCAGCCGGGGAAGCGGACGACGUGUGGGAGACAACGACUGUUUCGGGUGGGGCUGGCGAUGUGCAUGGUCUAUCUUUCGAGCAGCCUGUAAAGCGGCUGAAUAGCUGAAAAUUACACUAUCUUGAAUCUGGGCUCGAGAUGCUUCUUCAACCCACCCAAGAAAAAUCCCAAGUAAUGCGCAUCCGAGAAAUCAGGAAUUUGUGAAACCCUAUUCUCAAAAGCGGCGAUAUAUUCCUCGAGAGAACCUGUUUGCUUGACUGCAAGCAAGGCUUCAUAGCCGUUAAUUGCGGACUCAUCGCCAUAUCGAAUCACAACUCCUGCGAAAAGUUACCCAAUCGGGAUUAGGUAUUCUCCUGAUCAGCAAUUGAUACCAAGACAUCGAUGACCCUGACAAGGCUAUCACGGCGAACUCCACCUUCUUCGCCGCAGGUGUCUGGUGCACCAAGAAAUACUGCUCUGCACGUGCAAGCCAUGCACGAGCAUCAGAUCCGUCGAAACUGGGCAUCUCCAUCUUCUGCAACAUCGGAGUGGGGGAACUUUCUGACUCCGACAGCGAGGGAUCGGGGCCCCGAUCAAAGUGAUCAAAGGAUUUCAACUGGGCGAGAAUGGCGUCAAGUUUAGAAUCUGACGCUGCUUGCUUCGCCGCCGCUGCAGACUGGGCAGCGCGAAGUUCCUCCAGUGCCUUCUCUAUCUGCUCCAUGCGUUGUUGGUCUCUCGUCAUCGUCAUCUUUCGAUCCGGCAGGUCGGACCAAUUUGAUAGAGUAAAGGCGUAUGAAGAUGAAGAAAUAAGAAAGAAAAUAAAAAUACAAUAUAUAAAACUCCUCCUGCGAGGCCCUCAGAGAAAAAUAUCUCUGCCCUACAGCUAUUGCUGUCCCUAAACAAUGAUCCCAAGAUAAUUAACCCUAAAUCGUAAAGAACUAUAUAUAGACCUAAUGACUUGAGGCCCAAUUAAUUAACUUGGAGCCCAUGAGUCUUGACCUAAAAACUUAACCCUAAAUAAUUGAACUACUGCGAAAAAAUAAAAGAUAACUAUGAACUAACAAAAACUAAUAUAAUAAAGAUAAUCCUAAAUCUGCAGACUGCAGCUGAUCUAACGCUAUCAUGUUGUUGCUUCUUAAAGCAUUAACUUUGAACACUUGCUGGAGAUUGUUGAUAUCUGGAGAGACUUGGAUUGGUUUGAGUCAUGUUUCGUAUGUGGUUUCUCUUGUAAAGUUUUUCUGGAUGUUGUGGCUGUGCUCGAGGACAAUCAAUGGUUUAAGUGUAGGGGGUUGUUUCCCCUGCUUUUGGGCUUCUUGUG